UACGUAGGGUGCAAGCGUUGUCCGGAAUUAUUGGGCGUAAAGAGCUCGUAGGCGGCUUGUCACGUCGACUGUGAAAACCCGGGGCUCAACUCCGGGCCUGCAGUCGAUACGGGCUGGCUUGAGUGCGGUAGGGGAGACUGGAAUUCCUGGUGUAGCGGUGAAAUGCGCAGAUAUCAGGAGGAACACCGGUGGCGAAGGCGGGUUGCUGGGCCGACACUGACGCUGAGGCGCGAAAGCCAGGGGAGCGAACGGG
Molecule: ribosomal RNA, 253 nt
Filed under: uncultured bacterium
Lineage: Bacteria
Description: partial 16S ribosomal RNA
Rfam family: Bacterial small subunit ribosomal RNA
Source: RNAcentral